Molecule: ribosomal RNA, 253 nt
Filed under: uncultured bacterium
Lineage: Bacteria
Description: partial 16S ribosomal RNA
Rfam family: Bacterial small subunit ribosomal RNA
Source: RNAcentral
UACAGAGGGGGCGAGCGUUGUUCGGAAUUACUGGGCGUAAAGGGCGCGUAGGCGGCCCGCUAAGUCGAACGUGAAAUCCCCAGGCUCAACCUGGGAACUGCGUCCGAUACUGGCAGGCUUGAAUCCGGGAGAGGGAUGUGGAAUUCCAGGUGUAGCGGUGAAAUGCGUAGAUAUUGGGAGGAACACCAGUGGCGAAGGCGGCUCACUGGACCGGAACUGACGCUGAGGCGCGAAAGCGUGGGGAGCAAACAGG